RNAcentral lists this ribosomal RNA (410 nucleotides) under uncultured soil bacterium C050. Its description in RNAcentral is "bacterial SSU rRNA". It matches the Rfam family "Bacterial small subunit ribosomal RNA", at positions 330 to 734 of the family's 1533-position model. The record is from RNAcentral.
GUCAGACUCCUACGGGAGGCAGCAGUCGGGAAUUUUGGGCAAUGGGCGAAAGCCUGACCCAGCAACGCCGCGUGAAGGAUGAAAUCCCUCGGGAUGUAAACUUCGCAAGAAUGGGAAGAAUAAGUGCGGGCUAAUACCACGCACGAUGACGGUACCAUUUGUAAGCUCCGGCUAACUCCGUGCCAGCAGCCGCGGUAAUACGGGGGGAGCAAGCGUUGUUCGGAUUUACUGGGCGUAAAGGGCGCGUAGGCGGCCACGACAAGUCACUUGUGAAAUCUCCGGGCUUAACUCGGAACGGUCAAGUGAUACUGUCGGGCUAGAGUGCAGAAGGGGCAACUGGAAUUCUCGGUGUAGCGGUGAAAUGCGUAGAUAUCGAGAGGAACACCUGCGGCGAAGGCGGGUUGCUGGGC